CAAAUAACAACGUAUCUCAAGCAAUGUUUGAUGUCUUUCCUAUAUGGACUUCCUCAGGCCUACCAAAGUUUCUGCAGCGAAAUUGUACGUUUUACGAAAUCGUCGUCUUGAUCCUGAGAUCAUCGUGAACUAUCGGAGUAUAAUGCGAUCCAAGAGUUGAACAACGCGCAUUUUAUUUGUCACAAAUUUUAAGCUAACGGAACAAAAAACGCGAUGUUGGAUCAAAGUAACUGAUUUACCCAGAGGAAGUUGAUUUCGACUAUGGCGCUAGGCGGCCAGCUAGACGCUGCGCCCAUUCGAACACGAAGCUGUGGCGGUACAUUUUGCGAGUAGCAAUGUAACUCAAGCGAUGUUCUAUACCUUUUUCGACUUCGCCAGAUCUGUCCAAGUUUCUUCCAAGUGAUACCUUGCGAAAUUCGUGCUGCGAUAUUGAUCCUAAGGCCCGGAACAAUCGAAGUACCGCGAGAUCCGUAAGGUCAGGCAAAAGGACGCGAUGUCACAUUAAAGCACCUCAUUCAGCCAGAGCAAACACAUCUUAACCAUCUGGCAGACGUUACAGAAUUGAAAGAGUUUGCAGAACUGAUAGACGUAACUGGACGUUCUAUGAAAUAGCACACAAAGGAUAUAAUUUGGACAUAACAAAAUUAUCAUGAAGCAUUACUCUUACUCAAGGUCUAGAUCAACUAACUUUUUCGUCAGACUCAACCGUCCCAUCCUUCACACACGACACGACGAAGAUGACACACUAGCGCACUAUUCACGCUCUAGCCGAUAGUGCUGCCAUCAGCCGUAGUCAAUCCACAACCGUACAUAUCAGUAGCUGCGACACCGCAUUCGCCGCAAGUCAUUCAAACGCUCUAACAAUUUUUAUUACAUAUACUUUUUUAUUAAUUGUUUCAUUAUAAAUUAAUCUCAAUUUUAUUAUGUGGCCAGAACAGAUAUUUAUUAUGACAAGAACUGGUGGCCAAAAACGGUGAAAUCAGAAAUUAUGACAUAAGUAUUAUUUUUUAAAAUAUGUUUAAUUUAUUUUGCUUAAAUUUAUUAUUCUUAAAUUUAUCUUAAAUUUAUUAUUUAAAGAUUCUUAAUAAUAUAUUAAAAUAAUUAAAGACAUUAGAUAACGAAGGAAAUUUAAUUAAAACGCGUUUAUUUCGUCGAAACUCCUUAAAGUGGCCACAAAUAGAGCAUCGACCCUAUUUUGAUUUGCGAUUAUUAUUACGUUCUUAGGAAUAAUGCGAACGUUGUUAAAUACGUGCGUAUAUUUCGUUAGAGGACUUCGUUAGAGGACUUCGCAGUAUUGCGGAGUUGUUUUCGCAUGAACUUGCGGAGCAGACUUCACGCAUAUAUUGCGUGAUAAUUUUACGCUACUCAUCAAUUAUUUAGCUCGUUUACGAUAUCGUUAGAUUUGUGUUGUGAAUAUAUUUCGGUGUUAUAAAAUGGUAUUAUAUGCCUUUACGAGAAAUUCGAUCAAAUUACUGUUAAAUUUGAGAUACAUAUGUGCUUAUAGUUCAUUUAAAAAUUUAAGUUCUCGUGCAAUGAGAACUCAGUUUUUUGUUCACGAAAUGGAAAAACUUCUAUAUCUCUCGCGUCUUUUUGAAAACGCGGUCUUUGGUUCGCGAUUUCAGUAUACGCGUCGCGCGAGUUUUCUUUAAAUGAAAGUGCUACGAAAGGGUACGAAGAAAAGCUGAACGAGGUUAAACCUGCGAGGAUGCAAGAAUUCGUCGAGGGAAACAGGAUCGACGGAUUUCAUCGCUUAUCGGUGAGCGAACGCACAAAAACAAUUUCAUGAUAGUAAAAUUUCUUUUGUACAGCUUCUUAGUAGUGCAUGUGUAGAUGUAGGUCGCAUUGAUUUUUUACGAAAAAAAAAUAAGAGUGAUUUCACCUUUAUUUUUACGCAAAUAUUUGGAUGACAUUCUCGCGAUAUGAUUUAAAUAAAGUGUGUCUUGUAAUGUAUUCUUAUAAUUUAAUUUAAUUUAAUCGUUGACUGCGUGUAACAUUUUU
This is a long non-coding RNA of Odontomachus brunneus, 1998 nucleotides long. RefSeq lists it as uncharacterized. The transcript is spliced from 6 exons. Lineage: Eukaryota; Metazoa; Arthropoda; Insecta; Hymenoptera; Formicidae. The record is from RefSeq and is a predicted model, not a curated record.